RNAcentral lists this ribosomal RNA (492 nucleotides) under Mogannia obliqua. RNAcentral describes it as "partial 16S ribosomal RNA". Lineage: Eukaryota; Metazoa; Arthropoda; Insecta; Hemiptera; Cicadidae. The record is from RNAcentral.
GUCUUUUAGAUUGUAUUAAAAGUCUAAUCUGCCCAAUGAUUUCUUAAUGGCCGCGGUAAACUGACCGUGCAAAGGUAGCAUAAUAAUUAGUCUUUUAAUUGAAGGCUUGUAUGAAUGAUUUGAUGAAAAAUAAUCUUUAUUAAUAUAAAUAUUUUAAUUUAACAUUUAAGUAAAAAGGCUUAAAUAAUUUAGAGGGACGAGAAGACCCUAUAGAAUUUAAAAUUCAUAAUUAUUAAGUUUAUUUAAUUAUAAAUUAAAUUUAUUAAUUAUGAUUUUUUUGUUGGGGUGACAUUAAAAUAUAAGUAACUUUUAAUAAACUUUUCAUUAAUAUAUGGUAAUUAGAUCCAAUUCCUUUUUGAUUUUAAGAUUAAUAUUACCUUAGGGAUAACAGCGUUAUUAUUUUAAAAAGUUCUUAUUGAUAAAAUUAGAUUGCGACCUCGAUGUUGGAUUAAGAAAUAGAGCUUGGUGCAACUUUUAAGUAUCUAGGUCUGU